Sapajus apella (tufted capuchin) is the source of this 111-nucleotide long non-coding RNA. RefSeq lists it as uncharacterized. The record is from RefSeq and is a predicted model, not a curated record. NCBI's taxonomy places the organism in Eukaryota, Metazoa, Chordata, Mammalia, Primates, Cebidae. The transcript is spliced from 3 exons.
CAGCUCACACCUUCAAAAGGUGCCGUUAAUAGCACCAGCCAGUUAAACGUUCAGUACGGCAAUAAUUUUGUCUCCAUGCUUUUGACAAUUUGUUUCACGCCUCAUUUACUA